This 253-nucleotide ribosomal RNA is filed under the name uncultured bacterium. Its description in RNAcentral is "partial 16S ribosomal RNA". It matches the Rfam family "Bacterial small subunit ribosomal RNA", at positions 524 to 776 of the family's 1533-position model. The record is from RNAcentral.
UACGUAGGGGGCAAGCGUUGUCCGGAAUCAUUGGGCGUAAAGCGCUCGUAGGCGGCCCGGUAAGUCCGCUGUAAAAGUCCAGGGCUCAACCCUGGAAAGCCGGUGGAUACUGUCGGGCUAGAGUCCGGAAGAGGCGAGUGGAAUUCCUGGUGUAGCGGUGGAAUGCGCAGAUAUCAGGAGGAACACCGGUGGCGAAGGCGGGUCUCUGGGCCGAUACUGACGCUGAGGAGCGAAAGCGUGGGGAGCGAACAGG